RNAcentral lists this signal recognition particle RNA (292 nucleotides) under Rhinopithecus roxellana (golden snub-nosed monkey). RNAcentral describes it as "Metazoan signal recognition particle RNA (ENSRROG00000008443.1)". It matches the Rfam family "Metazoan signal recognition particle RNA". Rfam says of the family: The signal recognition particle (SRP) is a universally conserved ribonucleoprotein. It is involved in the co-translational targeting of proteins to membranes. The eukaryotic SRP consists of a 300-nucleotide 7S RNA and six proteins: SRPs 72, 68, 54, 19, 14, and 9. The record is from RNAcentral. Lineage: Eukaryota; Metazoa; Chordata; Mammalia; Primates; Cercopithecidae.
GCAUAGUGGCAUGCACCUAUAGUCUCAGCUACUCAGGAAGCUGAGGCAGGAGGAUCACUUGAGUCCAAGGGUUCUAAGCUGCAGUCCACUAUGUUGAUCAGGUGUCUGCAACAAGUCCAUCAUCAAUAUGGUAUCUGCUCAGGAGUGGGGAACUACCACGUUACCUAAGGAGGGCUGAACGCCCAGAUCAGAAACAGAGCAGGUCACAACUCUUGUACUGAUCAGUAGUGGGAACAAGCUUGUGAAUAGCCAGUACACUCCAGCCUGAGCAAAAGAGCAAGACCCCAACUGU